Molecule: ribosomal RNA, 299 nt
Filed under: uncultured archaeon
Lineage: Archaea
Description: partial 16S ribosomal RNA
Rfam family: Archaeal small subunit ribosomal RNA
Source: RNAcentral
GGGGCGGCUUAUCAUGCGUGCACCGUGAUAGGAACCCCGAGUGCCAGCACAGGCUGGCUGUCCGCCAGUGUAAAUAACUGGUGAAGAAAGGGCCGGGCAAGACCGGUGCCAGCCGCCGCGGUAAUACCGGCGGCUCGAGUGGUGGCCGCUAUUACUGGGCUUAAAGGGUCCGUAGCUUGAUAAUCAAGUCCCUUGAGAAAUCCGCCGGCUUAACUGGCGGGCGUUCAGGGGAAACUGGUUUUCUAGGGACCGGGAGAGGUGAGAGGUACUGCCGGGGUAGGAGUGAAAUCCUGUAAUCC